RNAcentral lists this long non-coding RNA (1032 nucleotides) under Chrysolophus pictus (golden pheasant). RNAcentral's name for it is "lncRNA (ENSCPIG00010006000.1)". Lineage: Eukaryota; Metazoa; Chordata; Aves; Galliformes; Phasianidae. The record is from RNAcentral.
AUGGUGUUGCACACCCAAAUCCCCUUGCACGCAGAAUUCCAUUUGCACAACCAAGUUCUCGUGCACGUCUGCAUGCCACUGCACGUCCCAGUCGUGUUGCACACCCACAACCCAUUGCACAACCGUUGUGUUGCACGUCCAAGCCGUGUUGCACGCCCAAAUCCCGUUGCACGCCCAGAUCCUGUUGCACAAUCACAUCCCGUUGCACACCUCAGUCGUGUGGCACGCUUAAAUCCUCUUGCACAUCCAAGUCCCGUUGCACAUCCAAAUUCUGUUGCACGCCCAAGUUUGCACACCUAUGCCCCAUUGCAAACCCGGUUCUCUUUGCACACCAAAGUUGCCUUGCACACUCACUCCCCAUCGCACGUCGUUGCACACUCAAAGCUGUGGCACACCGAAGUGUUAUUGCACGUCCAAGCUGCGUUUCACGCUCAGAUCCCUUUGCACACUCAAAUUCCAUUGCACACUUCCAUCCAGGUGCUGUUGCACGUUCAAGUCGUGUUGCACGCUCAAAUCCCGUUGCACAUCCAAGUGUCCUUGCACACUCAAAGCUGUGGCACAUCCAAGUUUCCUUGCACAUCCAAGUGCCGUUGCACGCUCAAAUCUCAUAGCAAAUUCAAGUGUCGUUGCACACCCAAAGCCUGUUGCACAUCCAGGUGCUGUUGCACAUUCGAGUUGCAUUGCACAAUUCCCGUUGCACACCCACGUUGUGUUGCUCGCUCAGAUCUCCUUGCACACCCACGUGUCAUUGCACACCAGAUCCCGUUGCACGGCCAAGUUGUGUUGCACGCUCAAAUCCCAUUGCACAUCCAGCUGUUGUUGCACGUCCACGUGUCAUUGCACACUCAAAACCCAUGGCACGUCCAAGUUGCACUGCGCGAGUUCUGUUGCACACUCAAAUCCUGUUGCACGCCUAGCUGUUUUUGCACGUCCAAGUUGUGUUGCACACUCAAAUCCCACUGCACAUUUAAGUGCUGUUGCACACCGAAGAGCUUGUUGCACACCCGACCCUGUUGCACACUCAAGUGCCGU